RNAcentral lists this ribosomal RNA (669 nucleotides) under Triticum aestivum (bread wheat). RNAcentral's name for it is "partial small subunit ribosomal RNA". Lineage: Eukaryota; Viridiplantae; Streptophyta; Magnoliopsida; Poales; Poaceae. The record is from RNAcentral.
AUGGGGCGCACCAACAAGUCCUCCCUCGCGCUGGCGUGCCUGCUCGCCCUGCUGCUAGUGCAGCUACCCCGAGGAGCCCGUGCAGACGGGGAUCUGUGCGGCAAGGUGAAGUGCAGCAUGGGGAGCUGCGGCGAGUCCGGCGACUACAUGUUCGGGUUCGCCUGCCGCUGCAACCCGGGGUGGAGACGGUACCAUCUCGGCGACGUGGACUUCCCCUUCCUCCCCUGCGUCAUACCAAACUGCACCAUCAACUACUCGUGCCAGGACGGGCCGUCUCCUCCGGCUCCGGCACCGCCGCCGCCAGCAGCGCCACCGCUGACAAACCUCUCAGUCUACGACCCUUGCUUGAUGCAGUACUGCGGGGGCGGCACCUGCGAGAAGGUGGAGUCCUCGGCGUUCGCGCACAGGUGCGCCUGCCCCGACGGCUUCAAGAACCUCCUCGACGACGCCGCCUACCCCUGCUACCGCCAGUGCUCCCUGGGAUCAGGCUGCUCCGACCUCGGGAUCGGCAUACUCAACGGGUCCGACCCGAGCACGUCGCCGCCAGCACCCGUCUCCUUCACCGUCCAGAAGAGCGGCGCUGCAGGCGGUUCAGCACCACCGGCGCACGGGCUGCUGGGGCUCCUCAUACUGAUUUCCUUCUUCUGGGCCCACAGUUUUGUGAAUUAG